Molecule: ribosomal RNA, 433 nt
Filed under: uncultured bacterium
Lineage: Bacteria
Description: partial 16S ribosomal RNA
Rfam family: Bacterial small subunit ribosomal RNA
Source: RNAcentral
AGCGAACGCUGGCGGCAGGCCUAACACAUGCAAGUCGAACGAACUCUUCGGAGUUAGUGGCGGACGGGUGAGUAACACGUGGGAACGUGCCUUUUGGUUCGGAAUAACUCAGGGAAACUUGUGCUAAUACCGAAUGUGCCCUUCGGGGGAAAGAUUUAUCGCCAUUAGAGCGGCCCGCGUCUGAUUAGCUAGUUGGUGAGGUAACGGCUCACCAAGGCGACGAUCAGUAGCUGGUCUGAGAGGAUGACCAGCCACACUGGGACUGAGACACGGCCCAGACUCCUACGGGAAGCAGCAGUGGGGAAUCUUGCGCAAUGGGCGAAAGCCUGACGCAGCCAUGCCGCGUGAAUGAUGAAGGUCUUAGGAUUGUAAAAUUCUUUCACCGAGGACGAUAAUGACGGUACCCGGAGAAGAAGUCCCGGCUAACUUCGUG